Orcinus orca (killer whale) is the source of this 5216-nucleotide long non-coding RNA. RefSeq lists it as uncharacterized. The record is from RefSeq and is a predicted model, not a curated record. NCBI's taxonomy places the organism in Eukaryota, Metazoa, Chordata, Mammalia, Artiodactyla, Delphinidae. The transcript has 2 exons.
GCCGCGCGGGGUGAGGCGGGCGCGGCUUCGUCCUCCGCUGGUCCUUCUGAGGUAUCGCAAAAUUUCUGCACGAGCGUAAGUGGCAGCGUGAACCAUGGGAGACGUUGGAAAAAGAAAUGGAACACGUAAGGAACAUCUAACGUUCUUGCCAGUCAUCCCCUUACUGCCUCUCGGCUUCCAAUGCACGUGGUCCGUGGCGGAGACGGAUCUGACCCCUGGCCAUGCUGAGCCUUGGCGGCAGAGGGAGCGGGAGAGGUUGCGGGAGAAGGUUUGCUCCGGGGCUGCUCGGCGGGAGGGAGGCGCCUGCUUCCCCACGUCCGGCUCCUGCGGAGACAGCUUCCCCUGGACGUCUUCCCCAGGCAAACGGCAGGGCAGAUUUCUGGCAAGUUCUGUAAGAUGAACUUUCAGGAAGUGGGGAUAAAAAAAGCGUCAAGGGCUUCCCUGGUGGCGCAGUGGUUGAGAGUCCGCCUGCCGAUGCAGGGGACACGGGUUCGUGCCCUGGUCCAGGAAGAUCCCACAUGCCGCAGAGCGGCUGGGCCCGUGAGCCAUGGCCGCUGAGCCUGCGCUCCGCAACGGGAGAGGCCCGCGUACCGCAAAAAAAAAAAAAAGCGUCAAGCUCUCAACCGCGAAUAGAUUACAAGCCCUGCAAGCGCAGACCCCACCCCCAAGGCUGGAGGUGCGGUGGGUAGAGCUGCAGAACAGGGGCUCAGCGCUAGGAGUCCCAGUGCUUGAGAUGCUCCCACUCGUUGUCCUGCUCUGAGUGCCUGCAACCCUCAUCCUGAUCGUGAUGUUCUUCUGGGGUCAGCCAGGGCUCCUCCGCUCCCCCACCCCACCCUUGGUUCAGCCACACGUCCCUCAACUUCUAACUACAGCCAGCUCUCCUCCUGCAGCCCUGGUCCAGGUUUAUCUCACCUGACUCACAACAGCAGCCUCCCAACAGGCUCCCUGCUUCUAUCCUGCCAUACUUGCUGGAGGCCAGCUUGUCGCAGUCAGCAGAGCACCCAGUAAAAAGAAGUCCAGGGCUUCCCUGGUGGCGCAGUGGUUGGGAGUCCGCCUGCCGAUGCAGGGGACGCGGGUUCGUGCCCCGGUCUGGGAGGAUCCCACAUGCCGCGGAGCGGCUGGGCCUGCGCAUCCGGAGCCUGUGCUCCGCAGUGGGAGAGGCCACAGCAGUGAGAGGCCCACGUACCGCAAAAAAAAAAAGUCCAAUCCCAUCCCUUCCCCAGGGGCUCCCAUGUCACACAGCACGAAAGCCAGUCCUUGCUGCCACCCACAGGUCCUACACAGGUGGGUCUCAUUUGUGCUCUGCCCCUUGUUCAUCUAGCUCCAAUCAGGAGACCCUCCUGCCGCAGGCCAUUGAAUGUGCAUCCUGUCACACCCUCUAAUUGUCCCCAUGCAAACUGACCUCCUACAUCUUACUCCAUUGUCCCCUUCUCCGUGAGGACUUCCCUGGCCUUCCUAUUUCAAAUCUCAAACCUACAUACAUGCAUGCACAGACACGCACAUGCACACACAUGCAUGCACAUGGGCACACUCACAGCCCCUUUCCCUGUUUGGUUUUUCCUCCUUGUGUCAGUAGUCAGGGUUCAAUGAGGGGACAGAGAGCACACAGUGACUUCAGAGAAAGUUUGAUAUAAAGAUUACUGAGGGACUUCCCUGGUGGUGCAGUGGGUAAGACUCUGUGCUCCCAGAGCAGGGGGCCCAGGUUCGAUCCCUGGUCAAGGAACUAGAUCCCACAUGCAUGCCACAACCUAGAGUUCACAUGCCACAACUAAGGAGCCUGCCUGCCGCAACUAAGACCUGGUGCAACCAAAUAAGUAAUUUUUUUAAAAUUACUAAUAACGGGAUUAAUUAUAAAGGAGUAAAGAACUCUGUAUUCAAGAAAGGACAAAACAUUCCCUGCUAAAUGCUUCUGGGAUCCAGCUCCAUUAUUGCAGAGCAGGCAAAGAGAAGUGGAUUUGGAGCUGAGGCAGUAAGUGGAAAAUGGGCAGAGUCCGACCUUCUGGAAAGUCAGCUUCUGUAUGCAGCCUUUCAAGCAUAUUUGAACUUCCAUACAACAACAAAACAAUGCUAUAUUUUCACCUAACAAGGUACAUCCAUCCUUAUUGCAAGUGAAGAAAUUCUCACUUUCCCCCAAAUGAGCAUAUGUACAGUCCCAGCAGUCAUUGUAUCUGACACUGGCUACAUUCAUUACUCCUCAAAUUCUGUCACUGUCCCACUGAAUACUCUAUUAUGCUCUUAAAACUAAAUAGUAGGGCUUCCCUGGUGGCACAGUGGUUAAAAAUCCGCCUGCCAAUGCAGGGGACACGGGUUCAAGCCCUGGUCCGGGAAGGUCCCACGUGCCACGGAACAACUAAGCCUGUGCGCCACAACUACUGAGCCCAUGUGCCACAACUACUGAAGCCCGCGUGCCUAGAGCCCAUGCUCCACAGCAAAGAGAAGCCCACACAGUAAGAAGCCUGCGCACCGCAACUAAGAGUAGCCCCCGCUCGCCGCAACUAGAGGAAGCCCACGUGCAGCAACAAAGACCCAAUGCAGCCAAAAAUAAAUUAAUUAAUUAAAAAAAAACUAAAUAGUAAAGUUAACUUCUGACAACUUGUAUAUUUUUAAAGUAAAUUUGUUAUUAUUCAGUAUAAUAUAUAUUAUUCCAUCUCACUCAAAUUUUUUAAAAAUUGGAGUAUAAUUGCUUUACAAUAUUGUGUUAGUUUCUUGCUGUACAGCAAAGUGAAUCAGCCAUACAUAUACAUAUAUCCCCUCUUUUUUGGAUUUCAUUCCCAUUUAGGUCACCACAGAGCCUUGAGUAGAGUUCCCUGUGCUAUACAGUAGGUUUUCAGUUAUUUUAUAUAUAGUAGUGUAUAUAUGUCAAUCCCAACUUGUAUAUUUUUAAAAAAUGGAAAGCAGAAGGGACAAAAUGGUUAGUUUCUAUAUUAUAUAUGCAAAGAGAAAAUGUGCAAAGCUACUACAAUCCUUUUCUCUGUAAUUGGUCACAAGAAGUAGUUGAUAGGUACAGCUCUUUAACAGUGUUCUCUUCUAAACUGCCUAUAGUGUGCACAGAACAGUUAGAACAAAGCAGGCUGAAUUCAGUAUUUCAGGCACAGAACGACCAAAUAAAAUAAAUUCUAUCACUACAAACACCAAAUGCAAAAUUAUUCACCAGUCAAUUAGAAAAUGUAAAACUCUGAUAUAAAAUGAGUGUGCCCCUGGAGCACAGUCAGAACAGGAGGAACUCUGGUUCUGUCCUGUUCUUCUCUUCAAGAGCCCCAGCGGUGCAGCGGGACACAGACUGGGACAUCAGAAGACUACUGCUCCAUAAACCAAGUAGGAUCAACACGGAGAAGUGGGCUUCCCUGGUGGCGCACUGGUUGAGAAUCCGCCUGCCAAUGCAGGGGACACGGGUUUGGUCCCUGGUCCGGGAAGAUCCCACAUGCAGCGGAGCAACUAAGCCCAUGCGCCACAACUACUGAGCCUGUGCUCUACAGCCCGUAAGCCACAACUACUGAGCCCACGUGCCGCAACUACUGAAGCCCGUGCGCCUAGAGCCUGUGCUCCGCAAUGAGAAGCCCGCGCACCACAACGAAGAGUAGCCCCUGCUCACCGCAACUAGAGAAAGCCCGUGCACAGCAGCGAAGACCCAACACAGCCAAAAAUAAAUUUAAAAAACACACACACAGAGAAGUCCACACCUAUAUACACCAUAACCAAAUUCCUGCAUGCCGAAGACAAAGAAAACCAUGAAAGCCACAAGAGAAAAGUGACCCAUCACAUAAAGGGAAAGAAUGAUACAAUGAAUAGCUGACUUCUCCCAAGAGAUGAUGGAGGCUGUAGGCAGUAAAUGGCAUACUCAAAGUGUUAAAGGAAAAAGCAAACCUGUCAAUGAAUAAAUUCUAUACUCAGCAAUACUAUCCUUCAAAAAUGAAGCUGGGAGAAAAAAUGAAGGUGAAAUAAACACAUUGCCAGAUAAACAAAACAGAAAAUGUAUUGCUAGGAGAUUUGCCUUACCAGAAAUACUAAAGAAAGGUCUUCAAGCUGAAAGAAAAUGACAUAAGAUGUUCACUCAAGUCAACAGGAACGAAGAACCAAAUUCAGCAACAUGUAAAAGGCUUAUCUACUAAGACCAGUGGGCUUUAUCCCAAGAGUGCAAAGUUGGUUUAGCAUCCAGAACGCAAAUCAUGUAAUACACUAUAUUAAUAGGAUAGCGGAUAAAACCACAGGAUUGUUACAAUAGCUGCAGAAAAGGCAUUUGACUGAAUUUAAUACCUGUUCAAGAUAAAUACACUCAACAAAUUAGGACUAGAUGGGAAAUUCCUCAACUUCAUAAAAGGUAUCCAGGAAAAGUCUGUAGCUGACAUCAGACUUAAUGGUGAAAGAUGUAAUGCUUUUUAAAGAUUGGAAAUGAGGCAAGGAUGUCUGCAUUCACCACCUCAAUUCUACACUGUAGGAUUCUGCAUGCAAGGAGCUUGGAAGUCACCAAUCCAUCCUAAGAAGUAAAGGUCUAAACAGACUGAAAAAUCAGCAACUCUUCUUGGAUCGAUGAGAGAAGGGAGGACACAGAGCAAACCACUGCUCCCAAGGUAGGAGAGACAGGCAGGUGAAUACAAGUCAUCACAGCUUACCAGAGCAAAGGUUCAUGAGAGAAACCGGCCUGAGAACCUGUGUGUGCGGGGGAAGGGGGGGCGCUGAACUGUAAUUGAUGAAUUUCGGGAGGUUCAAAGUCAGCAACUGUUGAGAGUUAAAAACUCCGGGGCACCCAGUCAUGAGGGAGCCCACACAAUACUGUGAGAUUUACCCCUGGAGCCUGAGCAGGUUCCCAAGUAAAUAUCAGCAAAGCCCCCUCAAGCUUUCUGCAGGGGGAGAGAAGGAACCAUCUCCUACCGCGACAGAGCACUCUGCUCUCCUUAACAAGGCUGCGCUCAAGGGAAACUCGUUAACCAGAGCCUGACCUGCUGGGGUGUUAUCAGAGCCUAACUGACCAGGGGAAGGGAAAUGCCCAGCUCCAGCCUCUCUGGGCAGCCCGUCCCAACCAAGGGGAGAUAAAGGACUGAGAAACACUUGUGAAGUUCACAGUCCAGAGGCACAGGCUCAGUAAAAGAACUGAGGCCCGAUCACAGGACCGUAGAAGGCGUCUCCUCUCCCACACCUCACCUCCACAUUAUUAAGGCCUAUUUAUAGCAGUUCCUUUCACCCAGUACAUCAUGUCUGGCUAUCAGGAAAAAAUUACA